AUUGAACGCUGGCGGCAUGCCUUACACAUGCAAGUCGAACGGCAGCGGACCUUCGGGUGCCGGCGAGUGGCGAACGGGUGAGUAAUAUAUCGGAACGUGCCUUUCAGUGGGGGAUAACGUAGCGAAAGUUACGCUAAUACCGCAUAUUCUCUGAGGAGGAAAGCAGGGGACCUUCGGGCCUUGCGCUGAUAGAGCGGCCGAUUUCAGAUUAGCUAGUUGGUGGGGUAAAGGCCUACCAAGGCGACGAUCUGUAGCGGGUCAGAGAGGAUGAUCCGCCCCACUGGGACUGAGACACGGCCCAGACUCCUACGGGAGGCAGCAGUGGGGAAUUUUGGACAAUGGGCGAAAGCCUGAUCCAGCCAUGCCGCGUGAGUGAAGAAGGCCUUCGGGUUGUAAAGCUCUUUCGGCCGGGAAGAAAUCGCACAGGCUAAUACCUUGUGUGGAUGACGGUACCGGAAUAAGAAGCACCGGCUAACUACGUGCCAGCAGCCGCCGUAA
This 498-nucleotide ribosomal RNA is filed under the name uncultured bacterium. Its description in RNAcentral is "partial 16S ribosomal RNA". It matches the Rfam family "Bacterial small subunit ribosomal RNA", at positions 30 to 523 of the family's 1533-position model. The record is from RNAcentral.